RNAcentral lists this ribosomal RNA (253 nucleotides) under uncultured bacterium. Its description in RNAcentral is "partial 16S ribosomal RNA". It matches the Rfam family "Bacterial small subunit ribosomal RNA", at positions 524 to 776 of the family's 1533-position model. The record is from RNAcentral.
UACGAAGGGGGCUAGCGUUGCUCGGAAUCACUGGGCGUAAAGCGCACGUAGGCGGACUCUUAAGUCAGGGGUGAAAUCCUGGAGCUCAACUCCAGAACUGCCUUUGAUACUGGGAGUCUUGAGUUCGGGAGAGGUGAGUGGAACUGCGAGUGUAGAGGUGAAAUUCGUAGAUAUUCGCAAGAACACCAGUGGCGAAGGCGGCUCACUGGCCCGGUACUGACGCUGAGACGCGAAAGCGUGGGGAGCGAACAGG